Molecule: non-coding RNA, 477 nt
Organism: Electrophorus electricus (electric eel)
Lineage: Eukaryota; Metazoa; Chordata; Actinopteri; Gymnotiformes; Gymnotidae
Source: the annotation of a RefSeq genome assembly
UAUCACUCUGACAAGACCACUCAUCAUGUUCACCAUUACACUCCUGUGUGUGUGGCUUUCACUGGGUGACUCUAUGGCAGAGCCAAUAGAACCACUUUUCCCCAGUGAAGCUGUGUUUCAGGGUGAUAAUGUUACUCUGUCCUGCAACUAUAAAGAGUUCAGUGGUACUAUAGAGAAUCUCCACUGGUACCAACAAUAUCCACAAUCCAAACCAGAAUUCCUCCUUUACAUCUUUCCAAGUGGAACUAAAAGUGAACCUCUCCCACCACGUCUAUCUGCCAAUGUUGAUAAAAAUCUGAAACAAGUGGAUCUGCUGAUCUCCUCUGCUGCAGUAUCAGACUCUGCACUGUACUACUGUGCCCUGGUGCCCACAGUCUGAGGAAUCCUAGCUACACUGUACAAAAACCUCCUACUACACAGAUAAGAUUAAAUAGGUACAAUAUACAUGAUGAAUAUGAUUUAAAUAUGUAUCUGAAA